AGUAAAUUUUUGAAUGGAUGAAAACAUCUUACAACAUGCACAGGCUGUCCUAAGAGACUAUGAAAGGAGGAUUGUUAGAGAGUCUAACUCAAUAGGAAUAAGCCAACCAGAACUGCAGUUAGGAGUCAUUGGCAGGAGGAACCAUUGUGACUUGUACGAAGAUGAAGCUUUCAAGCACAGUAUUGCUUUUCAAAAGAGACCACACACUACCUCAUCAUCAUGCUUGAAGGUGAUCUGAGCCUGAGGAGGGACAAAGGGCCUAGUGAUCGACUACCUUUGUUUCUGCAAGUAUUGACAAUUCUGCGUUUGUAUGCUGAUAAUUUCAGGGAAUACAGGGUGAUGAGGCAUCAGUGUUGCAAUCAUCUGUUUGUUGAGUGAUCAGAUGUUUUGCAAGCCAUAGCAAGAAGAAAGGUUUUGUGAGAACUUGAGAUUGAGGCUACCCAACAACAACUGUUUGAGUACCAGUACAGUACUACAGGAAUUCAAGAGUCAUAGGUGUGUUCGAUGGGACCCAUGUCUACAUAUCUUGGAGAGAAACAAGCUUUGUACUUUCUUGAUGGGCAAGUCCACCCCAACAAAAAGUUUAUUUUGAUAUAAUAGAGAAAACUCCAAUGAGCAUAACACUGAAAAUUUUAUCGAAAUUUGAUGUAAAAUGAGAAAGUUCUGACAUCUUGAAGUUUCGCUUAUUUUCACAAAACAGAUGCACAUCCUGGUCAUUAUGCAAACGAGUGACCAAGUGACGUUCUCCACUCACUGUUUCUUUUUUGUAAUAUAUCAUGAAAUAUAAUUUUUUUUUCUCAUAAUGGCUAAUAGUAAUACAGGUGUAUGUAUGGUUUGAUGUCUCCCUGAAACUUGUGUAAAAAGCCAUUGUGGCAACCUGUACUCAAUUCGAUGAAGAGUUUUCUCAUAAUUGUGAAUUCUGUAAAAAAUCAAGUAUUAUAAUAUAUUUCAUAUAGUGAUAUACAGAAGAAAGAGUGAGUGUGUGACGUCAUAGACUUGUUUGCAUAUCACCUGUUUUGUGCAUAUAAGUGAUUUUUGCGAGUAAUUAAUUUCUUAUUUUACAUCCUAUUUUGACGUUUUCAGUGUCAUGCACGUUUUAUUUUUCUCUAUCCAUUCACAUUAACUUUUUGUUGUACAGUGGACUUGCUCUAGAACAGGUAUUUUCUGUAAUGUACAAGUAAGAAUUUCAUUAUUUAUUUGUGUCUUCUUUUUAACACUUUUUUUUACAGGGGGUGGGGUUGAAUCAACCUCCCUUGAGAUCUCUGCCAAUGAUCGCAUUAAUGCCUUGAAAAUUGGUAUGAUAAUAGUGGGGGAUGUCAUGUGCAAUGCUGUUUGGUUGAUUUUUCCGAAAUUGUCAGAUCUUUUAUAUUAAUUAAUUAUGCUAAUUUCUGCAUAAAUCAUACUUUUAUACCAUUGCUAACAAUCAAAAUGAAAAAAAAAUCCUAGAUUGAAAAUGAAUUUAUGUAUUUUAUUGUUUUAUGAAUUUCUUAUGUAUAUCUUUUUUUUCAAGAUUUUUUUUGCCAAAUUUAUAGCAGAACAUUUUUUGAAGCAUAAUUAUGUUGAAAUCAAGUAAUUUCAGCUGAUGAAAGUAAAAAUAAUCAUGUCCAUAUGAAGAAGAUGAGAAAACUCAACAUUGACUUUGUACACAAAAUCAUGUUUUGGAGUGUUGAGUAAUUUUCCAACAGCAUGCCCAGGCAUCGUAAAUUUGAUCUCAAAAGAUGUGCAAGACUUCAAAGUAAAAAGUCGGCGAGCAGCACGGUCGUAAAAUUUCGCACAGCGGAAUGGUUGUGGAAUAUGUUGAGGGAGGGGGUUCAUUCACCCCCCCCCCCCGGGGUUUUAGGGUUAACCCUAAAUCUCCCGGGGUAUUUUUAUUCUUGUCAUUCCCGGAGGGGGGGCCAUUAUGGCCCCCCUUAAGAUCUCAGCCGCAGAUUGCGCGAUCACAACAAAAAUUUGCAUGAUGGUAGAGAAUGACAUAAUCUACGCAGUUGCAUUGGUAAAUUUCACUGAAUUCAUAUAUUUUUAUUUAUAUGAAUUAAUUAUGCUAAUUUAUUCAUGAAAUCAUACUUUUUGCUCUGAUUCACUAAAUAAAGCUAAUAGAAUGCUAUUUUUUGGUGAAAAUAUUCUUUAUAGCAUUCCUAACAAUUGUGAAUGAAAACAAUUCUGGUACCAAGACCGAUUUCUUAUGUAUUUUAUUGUUUUUUUAAUUUCUUAUGUAUUUUUUUGUUUUUUACUUUUUGUUUUUUCGAUGGAAAUAGUUCCAGACUUAAUUCUGAUCAUGAACAAGGCAAAAUUAAUUAAGUUUAAUCAGUAAAAGUAGAAAUAAUGAUACAUUUAUGAAUUUUGGCUAAUACACAAUCUGCAUUGGAUUUGUACAUGAAAUAACGUUUAUGAGCAAUUUGGGGUCUGACAUGCACUUACAUAAUGUUGUGUAAUGUCGUAACUGCGUACCCGGGCGUCACAAAUUUAGUCUCAAAAUUUGCGCGAGACUUGAAAGUAAAGUCAGUGAGCGGCAAGGUAAAAAAAAAUUGCGCAGCAGAUAUAUUGCGAAAAUUGUCGAGGGGAGGCCAUAAUGCCCCCCCCCCCCCGGAGAAUAAGGGUUAAAAGAGCACAUUAUUACUAAGAAUUUCACAUGAAUACAAGUAUUUGAAAUUAACUUUUAUCAGAUUUAGUUUCUUUCACAGACUACAUGUAUCUUCAAUGAUUUUUUAAUCCAAACAGUCCUUACAAAAAAAACACCAUUUAAAGGGGAAUCCAACCCAAAUAAAAACUUGUUUUUGUAGGGAAAAGAAAAAUCAGACAAGUUGAUAGAUGAAAGUUUGAACAAUAUUGGACAAACAACAAGAAAGUUAUGAAUUUUUAAAGUUGUAAAUAUUGGUAAUCACUAUUCCCAUGGAGACUUCAAAUUGGCCGCAUAUGGGAUGUCAUAGUGAUGUAGAAAGGACUACUCUUCCAUGUACUCCAAUACAUAUUUUGGCUAAAAUGUCAUUUUUCCCAAAAGUGUUAUUUCAAAUAAUAUUUUUCUUUCAUGAGGACAUAAAACAAUAUACUACCUGGGUUAUAUUUAGAUUACCGCCCCAGGGGAAUGGGUACUUCCGGAAAAAACCACAAAUCCCUGAUAAUAAAGUACAUGGCCUAUGGGAAAGUUGUCCUUGCCCCUUGUCAUAAUUUACUCACUCAGUUGCCAAUUUAAAAUCUACAUAGUAUUAGUGAUCUCAAUUUUAAAGCAGCUAUAACUUUCUUAUUGCUUGUCCGAUUUCUUUCAAACUUUCACCAUUCUGUUUAAUUUAUUUUUCUCCUUCCCAACACAACAUUUUAUGGCCAAGGCUGGAUUCCCCUUUAAUCAGGAAGCAUCAAAUGUUCCUCAUUUACUUUUUCAGGUGAAAUAUUUUCACAUAUUUUAAAUUGUCUAUUUCAAAUGCUUAAGAUUAGAACUUUGAUAGCUCACAGAAAGUUUAUUGCAUGCCCCAAAAUAUGCAUGUCCAUGAGGGUCAUCAAUUCAAAUUGCUCUCAUUUCUUUGUUUUUGCAUCAGUUGUGUUUACACUUGGUUCAGAUAACCAUUGGGGAUUAAAUACCAUAUGCAUGUCCAGGAGGAUAAUAAGGUCAAAAGAUCAUAUUGCAUACACUGUAGUUUGAUUGUGAUAUCAGGCGAGACUGGUGGUUUACCUUGUUUUUGGUUGAAAUGUGUUCUUUUCAAGUGUCCCCAGGGCAACAGCCCAGCUGGGGCAACCAGGUAGCCUUAUGAAUAGAGCUCAACUUGGGCAACCAGGAAAACACUAGCUUGGCCUGGCACAUGCACAUUUAGGGGGCAUGAAUGAGACAAAUUAAAAGGGCAAUUAAUGCAUUUUCUUGGAAAAAAUAUCAUUUCAAUUGACCCCAAAGGAUAACCCGAUGGCCUAGUUGGGGAAACCAGGUAGCCUUACAAGUAGAGCUCGACUCAGGCAACCAGAAAAACACCAGCUAAUAAUUAACAAUAAUAAUUAUUCAUUUGGGCCAUUACUGUAUUGUAAUUCAAGAAUGAUGUGGCAAUAUAUCAAAACUUGGACUAAGUAUUUAUUUCACAAAUGUUUGUAAUUUUGCAAUGUUUUCAAAAUGCCAAUUGAGUAUUAGAUUUUCAGUGUGUUAUAUUUUUAUGUAAUUUCCUGGUGUGAUUUUCCAAGGUGCAAGGUGGUUUCAUGCAAAUUAAAGAUAUACAGAAAAGAUAAAAGAAGAGUAGUCUUUUCCCUUUUUUUCUGAUUUGGAUGAAAUAAUCAUGAAGAUGAUCAAGAUGACUUUGGUGGUGAUGAGGAUGAUGAUUGUGUUGGUGCUGCUGAUGGUGACAAGUGUGGUGUAAUGGUGGUGAUGGUAUCGAUGGUUGUGAUGAUGUUGGUGGUGAUGAGGUUGAUGAUGACAAUAAAGAUGAUAGCAAUGGUGAUGUUAAUGUUGAUGGUAAUGUUGAUGAGUGAUGACGAUAGUAAUGAUCAUGCCCCUUUCAUCUCCAUCACUCCUCUUAUCUAUAUGUAUCCCUUUCAUCUACAUCUCUCCUCUUAUCAUCUCCCUUCCUCAUCAUCUCCAUCCCUCGUCUUACCAUCUCCAUCACUCUAUCCUUUCAUCUCUCAUCUCCAUCCUCCGAUCCCCUCCAUCCCUCAUCUCAAUCACCCUCAUCACCUCCAUUCCUCCCAUUAUCUCCAUCACCCUCAUCAACUCUAUUCCUCUCAUUUCCAUCCCCCUCAACAUCUCAAUUUUUCUCAUCAUCUCCAUUCAUCUCAGGAAAAUGCAUAUACACAAGAUAGAAUUCAACAGUCAAAAUACUUGUUUUGAAAUAUAAUAUCCCUCUGUAAAGUGGGUUUUAUUAUUUGCCAUAUAAAGUUGAAUAAUUACAUAGUAAACAGUGUAUACUAAACAAAAUUUGCUUUUUUGAAAGUGAAACUGAAAGUUUUCAUGCACACUUUCAGUGGAUAUGAAAAUUUUUAAAAAUUCCAGGGAGGGGGGGGGCAACUGCUGCGUAGGGCCAUGCUUUUGAACAUUUUGGGGGCCGGGAGUAUAUCGUCCCAAGCCGGCCCCAAUGUAUAUUUUCCCUUAAUACUCAAAGUAACAGCCACGUAAUUAGCAUA
This is a long non-coding RNA of Lytechinus pictus (painted urchin), 5091 nucleotides long. RefSeq lists it as uncharacterized. NCBI's taxonomy places the organism in Eukaryota, Metazoa, Echinodermata, Echinoidea, Temnopleuroida, Toxopneustidae. The record is from RefSeq and is a predicted model, not a curated record. The transcript is spliced from 3 exons.